Molecule: ribosomal RNA, 383 nt
Filed under: uncultured archaeon
Lineage: Archaea
Description: bacterial SSU rRNA
Rfam family: Archaeal small subunit ribosomal RNA
Source: RNAcentral
GAGAUUAUUGGGCCUAAGCAUCCGCUAGCUCGUUUUGUAAGUUUUCGGUUAAAUCCAUGCGCUUAACGUAUGGGCUGCCGGGAAUACUGCAUAACUAGGAAGUGGGAGAGGUAGACGGUACUCGGUAGGAAGGGGUAAAAUCCUUUGAUCUAUUGAUGACCACCUGUGGCGAAGGCGGUCUACCAGAACACGUUCGACGGUGAGGGAUGAAAGCUGGGGGAGCAAACCGGAUUAGAUACCCGGGUAGUCCCAGCUGUAAACUAUGCAAACUCAGUGAUGCAUUGGCUUGUGGCCAAUGCAGUGCUGCAGGGAAGCCGUUAAGUUUGCCGCCUGGGAAGUACGUACGCAAGUAUGAAACUUAAAGGAAUUGGCGGGGGAGCACA